Long non-coding RNA from Mus pahari (shrew mouse), 256 nucleotides. RefSeq lists it as uncharacterized. Lineage: Eukaryota; Metazoa; Chordata; Mammalia; Rodentia; Muridae. The record is from RefSeq and is a predicted model, not a curated record. The transcript is spliced from 3 exons.
GAGACGGCACCAGCCAUGUUGUCCUGGCCCAGGCCCUCCUACAGGCCGGGGGCGGGGCGGGGCCGCCCCUGAUCGCGGUGCCACCGCUGCCACUGGGCUUCGGAGCGGACCGACUGUGCAAGGCGGAGGCUGUGGCCGUCACGGAGCUUCUGGGAAGGCUCAUUACUGGUUAACAAGCAACUCCAUUGGUAGAGGAUCCACCGCCCUCUUCUGGCUUCUACAGACAGAGAUAAGAAUCAAGUGCUACAAUGACAAC